CAGCCGCCACGGUAAUACGAAGGGGGCUAGCGUUGUUCGGAAUUACUGGGCGUAAAGCGCACGUAGGCGGAUAUUUAAGUCAGGGGUGAGAUCCCGCAGCUCAACUGCGGAACUGCCUUUGAUACUGGGUAUCUUGAGUAUGGAAGAGGUUAGUGGAAUUGCGAGUGUAGAGGUGAAAUUCGUAGAUAUUCGCAGGAACACCAGUGGCGAAGGCGGCUAACUGGUCCAUAACUGACGCUGAGGUGCGAAAGCGUGGGGAGCAAACAGGAUUAGAUACCCCAGUAGUCCCUGUCUCUUAUAC
RNAcentral lists this ribosomal RNA (301 nucleotides) under uncultured bacterium. Its description in RNAcentral is "partial 16S ribosomal RNA". It matches the Rfam family "Bacterial small subunit ribosomal RNA", at positions 509 to 807 of the family's 1533-position model. The record is from RNAcentral.